AACGAACGCUGGCGGCAUGCCUAACACAUGCAAGUCGAACGAGACCUUCGGGUCUAGUGGCGCACGGGUUCGUAACGCGUGGGAACCUGCCCUUAGGUUCGGAAUAACUCCCCGAAAGGGGUGCUAAUACCGGCUAAUGUCUUCGGACCAAAGAUUUAUCGCCUUUGGAUGGGCCCGCGUUGGAUUAGCUAGUUGGUAGGGUAAAAGCCUACCAAGGCGACGAUCCAUAGCUGGUCUGAGAGGAUGAUCAGCCACACUGGGACUGAGACACGGCCCAGACUCCUACGGGAGGCAGCAGUGGGGAAUAUUGGACAAUGGGCGAAAGCCUGAUCCAGCAAUGCCGCGUGAGUGAUGAAGGCCUUAGGGUUGUAAAGCUCUUUUACCCGGGAUGAUAAUGACAGUACCGGGAGAAUAAGCUCCGGCUAACUCCGUG
This 433-nucleotide ribosomal RNA is filed under the name uncultured bacterium. RNAcentral describes it as "partial 16S ribosomal RNA". It matches the Rfam family "Bacterial small subunit ribosomal RNA", at positions 29 to 507 of the family's 1533-position model. The record is from RNAcentral.